This 805-nucleotide ribosomal RNA is filed under the name uncultured bacterium. Its description in RNAcentral is "bacterial SSU rRNA". It matches the Rfam family "Bacterial small subunit ribosomal RNA", at positions 629 to 1435 of the family's 1533-position model. The record is from RNAcentral.
UGANCUGGGUAGCUAGAGUAUGUCAGAGGGGGGUAGANUUCCACGUGUAGCAGUGAAAUGCGUAGAGAUGUGGAGGAAUACCGAUGGCGAAGGCAGCCCCCUGGGAUAAUACUGACGUUCAUGCUCGAAAGCGUGGGUAGCAAACAGGAUUAGAUACCCUGGUAGUCCACGCCCUAAACGAUGUCGAUUAGCUGUUGGGCAGCUUGAUUGCUUAGUAGCGUAGCUAACGCGUGAAAUCGACCGCCUGGGGAGUACGGUCGCAAGAGUAAAACUCAAAGGAAUUGACGGGGACCCGCACAAGCGGUGGAUGAUGUGGAUUAAUUCGAUGCAACGCGAAGAACCUUACCUGGUCUUGACAUGUACGGAAGAACUCAGAGACGAGUUUGUGCCUUCGGGAACCGUAACACAGGUGCUGCAUGGCUGUCGUCAGCUCGUGUCGUGAGAUGUUGGGUUAAGUCCCGCAACGAGCGCAACCCUUGUCAUUAGUUGCCAUCAUUUAGUUGGGCACUCUAAUGAGACUGCCGGUGACAAACCGGAGGAAGGUGGGGAUGACGUCAAGUCCUCAUGGCCCUUAUGACCAGGGCUUCACACGCCAUACAAUGGUCGGUACAGAGGGUAGCCAAGCCGCGAGGUGGAGCCAAUCCCAGAAAACCGAUCGUAGUCCGGAUUGCACUCUGCAACUCGAGUGCAUGAAGUCAGAAUCGCUAGUAAUCGCAGGUCAGCAUACUGCGGUGAAUACGUUCCCGGGUCUUGUACACACCGCCCGUCACACCAUGGGAGUGGGGGAUACCAGAAGUAGGUAGGG